This 727-nucleotide ribosomal RNA is filed under the name uncultured bacterium. RNAcentral's name for it is "bacterial SSU rRNA". It matches the Rfam family "Bacterial small subunit ribosomal RNA", at positions 71 to 796 of the family's 1533-position model. The record is from RNAcentral.
UUGGGGAGCUUGCUCCCCAUGAGAGUGGCGCACGGGUGCGUAACACGUAUGUAACCUACCCAUAUCAGGGGGAUAGCCUCUCGAAAGAGAGAUUAAGCCCGCAUAAAAUCACAAGGUGGCAUCACCAAAUGAUCAAAUAUUUAUAGGAUACGGAUGGGCAUGCGGAACAUUAGCUAGUUGGUAAGGUAACGGCUUACCAAGGCUACGAUGUUUAGGGGAUCUGAGAGGAUGACCCCCCACACUGGUACUGAGACACGGACCAGACUCCUACGGGAGGCAGCAGUAAGGAAUAUUGGUCAAUGGGCGCAAGCCUGAACCAGCCAUGCCGCGUGCAGGAAGACGGCCCUACGGGUUGUAAACUGCUUUUAUACGGGAAUAAACCUCACUACGUGUAGUGAGCUGAAUGUACUGUAAGAAUAAGGAUCGGCUAACUCCGUGCCAGCAGCCGCGGUAAUACGGAGGAUCCGAGCGUUAUCCGGAUUUAUUGGGUUUAAAGGGUGCGUAGGCGGCCUAUUAAGUCAGGGGUGAAAGACGGUAGCUUAACUAUCGCAGUGCCUUUGAUACUGAUAGGCUUGAAUAUACUUGAGGUAGGCGGAAUGUGACAAGUAGCGGUGAAAUGCAUAGAUAUGUCACAGAACACCAAUUGCGAAGGCAGCUUACUAAAGUAUGAUUGACGCUGAGGCACGAAAGCGUGGGGAUCAAACAGGAUUAGAUACCCUGGUAGUCC